RNAcentral lists this transfer RNA (72 nucleotides) under Streptomyces sp. HUCO-GS316. Its description in RNAcentral is "tRNA-Met". Lineage: Bacteria; Bacillati; Actinomycetota; Actinomycetes; Kitasatosporales; Streptomycetaceae. The record is from RNAcentral.
GGAGUGAGGGUGAUCGGAAGACCCAAAAAGGACUCAUAAUCCGUCGGCCGUGGGUUCGAGUCCCACCCUCCC